UACGGAGGAGCUAGCGUUGUUCGGAAUUACUGGGGCGUAAAGCGCACGUAGGCGGCUACACAAGUCAGAGGUGAAAGCCCGGGGCUCAAACCCCGGAACUGCCUUUGUAAACUAGGUGGCUAGAAUCUUGGAGAGGUCAGUGGAAUUCCGAGUGUAGAGGUGAAAUUCGUAGAUAUUCGGAAGAACACCAGUGGCAAGGCGACUGACUGGACAAGUAUUGACGCUGAGGUGCGAAAGCGUGGGAAGCAAACAGGAUUAGAUACCCCCCGUAGU
This 273-nucleotide ribosomal RNA is filed under the name uncultured bacterium. Its description in RNAcentral is "partial 16S ribosomal RNA". It matches the Rfam family "Bacterial small subunit ribosomal RNA", at positions 524 to 794 of the family's 1533-position model. The record is from RNAcentral.